UCUCGCGCGAGGACUUCACCGCGAGGAGCGAGGCGGCGGAGAACGCGAAGAAGGCCAGAUUGC
This 63-nucleotide non-coding RNA is filed under the name Alexandrium minutum. The record is from RNAcentral. Lineage: Eukaryota; Dinophyceae; Gonyaulacales; Pyrocystaceae.